GAUGAACGCUAGCGGCAGGCUUAAUACAUGCAAGUCGAGGGGUAACAUGGGUAGCAAUACCUGAUGACGACCGGCAAACGGGUGCGGAACACGUACGCAACCUUCCCAUAACUGGUGAAUAGCCUUCCGAAAGGGAGAUUAAUACACCGUAACAUAACGGAGCGGCAUCGCUUUGUUAUUAUAGGCUUCGGCCGGUUUUGGAUGGGCGUGCGCCUGAUUAGGUAGUUGGCGGGGUAACGGCCCACCAAGCCUGCGAUCAGUAACUGGUGU
RNAcentral lists this ribosomal RNA (270 nucleotides) under uncultured bacterium. RNAcentral's name for it is "partial 16S ribosomal RNA". It matches the Rfam family "Bacterial small subunit ribosomal RNA", at positions 28 to 293 of the family's 1533-position model. The record is from RNAcentral.